UAAGGAAUAUUGGACAAUGGGCGAAAGCCUGAUCCAGCCAUGCCGCGUGCAGGAUGAAGGCGCUCUGCGUCGUAAACUGCUUUUGUUAGGGAAGAAAAAGCUCCAUUUAUGGGGAACUGACGGUACCUGACGAAUAAGCACCGGCUAACUCCGUGCCAGCAGCCGCGGUAAUACGGAGGGUGCAAGCGUUAUCCGGAAUCACUGGGUUUAAAGGGUGCGUAGGCGGAUUUUCAAGUCAGAGGUGAAAGCUUCCCGCUCAACGGGAAAAUGGCCUUUGAUACUGUUAAUCUUGAGUACAGUUGAGGUGGGCGGAAUGUGUGGUGUAGCGGUGAAAUGCUUAGAUAUCACACAGAACACCGAUUGCGAAGGCAGCUCACUAAACUGUUACUGACGCUGAGGCACGAAAGCGUGGGGAGCAAACAGG
This 424-nucleotide ribosomal RNA is filed under the name uncultured bacterium. RNAcentral describes it as "bacterial SSU rRNA". It matches the Rfam family "Bacterial small subunit ribosomal RNA", at positions 355 to 776 of the family's 1533-position model. The record is from RNAcentral.